CUAUUCGCCAAUCCAAACAAUGAAGGUGCAAGGCGGUGGUGAGUGGUGACAGCGGCUCAGCUGGCUGCCGUGGGACAUACUUCGCUACUCCUCUUCUGGCUAGAUGGAAAUUUCAGCGAGGGGAACACAGGCAGGACAGCGGAGGACCUGGACAUGAUGAUGAGGUCUUGUAGUGAACCAGCAUGGUGCUGGGGCCUGGCCAGACUGAUGGAUCCCAUAAUUACAGUGCCCUCAUUGGCUGCCUAGCACUUGAUGGGAUGGACAAUACUUCCUUCUCAAUACAUCAUGUAUUGUAUGAUGGACAAUACCUCCUUCCACUCAACACAUCAUGUAUCGUAUGAUGUUCUGCAACAUUAACUCUAUCUAACAUACAUUCAAUCAGCCCCAAGUUGUGGUCUCACAUCACCACCUUCAAUGCCCAACAAGAGCAAGGAUGACUAGGGAAAUGUGGAGCUGUUGUCUCAGGUGUCCAGUGCUGGGGGGAAUUGUACAACAGUGCCACAGGUUUCCUGCCACAGAUAAAACUGUGCUCCGGACCAUGAUCAUGGCUUUGAGGGAAAUGCCUCCUGUCCACGAUCGUGGUCCCAUAUUUGACGAGUCACAAAAUUAAACUGCGUGCCUCCUGGCUACUGCUAGUUGCCAGAUGACAUUCUCCCAUCCUCCCUCGACUCAUGGGAUGUACUAUCAGUUGCGUGUGUGGGUGUUGUCAGACACAUUCCUUUUGGCAUGGUUGGCUUAGCUGGUAUCAUGGCUGCUCCACACUUGCAGUUGCCCCCUCCUCCAGACGGUGAUCCACAUGAGUAGAACUGCCGCACUGCACCUUAUUCCCCGACUGUGCUUCUGGUGUGUUCCUCACUGCUUCAUUCUGGUCCUCAGGAGCACCAGCCAGUUGAACCACACUACUUCCAACAACGCUUGCUGCACUCUUGUUAUCAGGGGUAGUGGCCAACUGAUUUCUUUCUUUCACAAUUAACUUGUGCCAGAAGUACGCUAUUUUGCCUUCUUUAGCUUUGCGUAGUAGUGGAAUCUGUUCCUUGACAAGCUCCUGUGAAGCUAGGUACAGAUCCUUCCUUGCAUUUCUUGUAACCACUUGGAUUUGGGUGGUUUUGAAUGAAACAACUACUGUAUUAGCCACAUAAUAUAGUUUUAGGCUUUCUGAUUAAAACAAUCCAUUCAGAAAUGGUAAUUUUAUUUUGAAGUUUGGUCAUAAUCAUACAAAUGGAUGCAAAACGACCCAAAAUACUGAAAAAAAAAUUAUUCAGCUUGGAUAUUUAGUCCUUUAUCAGCCAUUUCCAGUGUUCUGCUUCAAUCCCAAAAAUACAGUAAUAUUAAGUCUCUCUCUCUCUCUCUCUCUCUCUCUCUCUCUCUCUCUCUCUCUCUCUCUCUCUCUCUCUCUCUCUCUCUCUCUCU
Molecule: long non-coding RNA, 1410 nt
Organism: Portunus trituberculatus (swimming crab)
Lineage: Eukaryota; Metazoa; Arthropoda; Malacostraca; Decapoda; Portunidae
Exons: 6
Source: RefSeq, a predicted model, not a curated record